This 465-nucleotide ribosomal RNA is filed under the name uncultured bacterium. RNAcentral describes it as "partial 16S ribosomal RNA". It matches the Rfam family "Bacterial small subunit ribosomal RNA", at positions 338 to 795 of the family's 1533-position model. The record is from RNAcentral.
CCUACGGGUGGCUGCAGUAGGGAAUCUUCCACAAUGGGCGAAAGCCUGAUGGAGCAACGCCGCGUGGGUGAAGAAGGUCUUCGGAUCGUAAAACCCUGUUGUAAGAGCAGAAAGUGCGUGAGAGUAACUGUUCACGUUUCGACGGUAUCUAACCAGAAAGCCACGGCUAACUACGUGCCCGCAGCCGCGGUAAUACGUAGGUGGCAAGCGUUAUCCGGAUUUAUUGGGCGUAAAGGGAACGCAGGCGGUCUUGUAAGUCUGAUGUGAAAGCCUUCGGCUUAACCGGGGUAGUGCAUUGGAAACUGGGAGACUUGAGUGCGGAAGAGGGGAGUGGAACUCCAUGUGUAGCGGUGAAAUGCGUAGAUAUAUGGAAGAACACCAGUGGCGAAAGCGGUUCUCUGGACUGUAACUGACGCUGAGGUUCGAAAGCGAGGGUAGCAAACGGGAUUAGAUACCCUUGUAGUC